Molecule: ribosomal RNA, 490 nt
Filed under: uncultured bacterium
Lineage: Bacteria
Description: partial 16S ribosomal RNA
Rfam family: Bacterial small subunit ribosomal RNA
Source: RNAcentral
AUUGAACGCUGGCGGCAGGCCUAACACAUGCAAGUCGAAUGGUAACAGGAAACAGCUUGCUGUUUCGCUGACGAGUGGCGGACGGGUGAGUAAUGUCUGGGAAACUGCCUGAUGGAGGGGGAUAACUACUGGAAACGGUAGCUAAUACCGCAUAACGUCGCAAGACCAAAGAGGGGGACCUUCGGGCCUCUUGCCAUCAGAUGUGCCCAGAUGGGAUUAGCUAGUAGGUGGGGUAACGGCUCACCUAGGCGACGAUCCCUAGCUGGUCUGAGAGGAUGACCAGCCACACUGGAACUGAGACACGGUCCAGACGCCUACGGGAGGCAGCAGUGGGGAAUAUUGCACAAUGGGCGGAAGCCUGAUGCAGCCAUGCCACGUGUAUGAAGAAGGCCUUCGGGUUGUAAAGUACUUUCAGCGGGGAGGAAGGGAGUAAGGUUAAUACCUUUGCUCAUUGACGUUACCCGCAGAAGAAGCACCGGCUAACUCCGUG